Molecule: long non-coding RNA, 1110 nt
Filed under: Homo sapiens (human)
Lineage: Eukaryota; Metazoa; Chordata; Mammalia; Primates; Hominidae
Description: HSALNT0342564
Source: RNAcentral
GUCAAGAGCUGGGUUUCCCUAUUCAUUUCAUUUAAACAAGCUCCCAAGAAGGCAACAGGGACCCACUGUACCCCAAGAGGCACUCCAAGUUUCCUUCAGAGAGGAAAAAGAGAGACGGGGCUCCUAGAACCCACUCUCCCCAAAGGCGAGUUUCCCAGGCGCCGCUCGUGCUGUUGCUGGAAAGCGAGCUCGCUGUAGACCGGCCGCGACACCAUGUAGCUGCAGCUGUACUCGGGGAGCUGCGGCGGCUCCGACCUGCCGCCUGGCGCUGCCAUGACCUGCGAGCCAGAGGACAGCGAGGAGGGAGGACACGCGAGACAGGGUUUUGCCAUCUUGCUCAGGCUGGUCUCAAACUCCUGUGCUCAAGAGAUCCACCUGCUUCAUCCUCCCAGGGUGCUGGGAUUACAUGUGUGAGCCACCACACCCAGAGGAAAUGACAUUUGAAGAGAGACUAAAGGAUGAGAAAAAGACAGCCUUCCUGGAAGAGGAAACAGCAAAUGCAAAAACUCUGAGUUAGGAAAGAACUUGAUGCACUUGAGAAACAAAAAGAAGGCCGGCAAGACUGAAAUCCACAUAAGUCAGACCCGGGCACAGCAAACUGGACGUCCUCAGUAUAUAUGUGGCAACUGAAACCAGGCAUUUAGGUUGCACAGGCUGGAGUACAGUGGUGCAAUCUCGGCUCACUGCAAUGUCCGCCUCCUGGGUUCAAGUGAUUCUCCUGCCUCAGUGGUACAAUCUUGGCUCACUGCAACGUCCGCCUCCAGGUUCAAGUGAUUCUUCUGCCUCAGCCUCCCGAGUAGCUGGGAUUACAGGCAUGAGCCACUUUGUUCCAAGAUCUCAUCCAGACAUGAUCUCAUUCUGUUGCCCAGGGUGAGUGCAGUGGCACCUUCAUGGCUCAUUGCAGUCUCGAUCUCCCAGGCUCAAGCGAUCCUCCCACCUCAGCCUCCCAAAGUGCUGGGAUUGCAGGCGUGAGCCACCUUGCCCAGCCCAUUCUGCAAUCUUCGGAAGGAAGUCACUAUAUGCAGCCUAUGCUUGAGGAGUGGGGAGUUGAAUUCCACAUCCUUGAGGGCAGAAUACCUAAAUAAAUUAUUUGGAAUUCUUCUGCAAGAG